Non-coding RNA from Camellia sinensis, 697 nucleotides. NCBI's taxonomy places the organism in Eukaryota, Viridiplantae, Streptophyta, Magnoliopsida, Ericales, Theaceae. The record is from RefSeq and is a predicted model, not a curated record.
UGCUUAUUUACUAUGAUAGUAUGAUUAUGCCAAGUUUUGGUAGUGUUAUCUUGUGCAGGGACCUGCCUUUUCAGAUAUAUCAAAAGCAGUGCAAUCUGAACAUGUUCCUUCAAUAUGUUUGUUAGUUGCAUCAAUUGAAUUCAGAGGUCUACAGGCCUAUGGCGACUUCAAGAGGUUUUAAGACAUUACAAAUGGCUAGAAUAUUUGGAAACUGAUUUUGUUUUCGGUUUUAAGUCGCUACAAAUGGCUAGAAUAUUUGGAAACUGAUUUUGUUUUCAGUUCAUCUUCAAUUGGGUCGGUCACUGCACAGUUUUUGGCUGUAUUUUUCAGCAGCAUCUGGAAAGACAUCAGUGCAGUUCUCUGAGUCUGAGGAGUCUGAUCCAGAUUGGGGCUGCUGGAGUGCAAGUCAAGAGAUAAGAAACCCAUCCAUUAAAAUCAUUUUUCCCACAAUUGAAAGAAUGAAAAAUGCAAGUUGUGGAAUCUUAGCUUCAAAAUACCUUCUGUGUUUCUCGCAGGUAUCCUGACCUUUUGAUUACCUGGAAGAUAGUCUAGUGGCUUUUAACUGGAUCCUAUGUAUUAUUUUGCUUUGUUUGUUUGUUUGUUUGUUGUUUUUCUUCUUAAAAAAAAAAAAAAUUUGUUCGUGAUUUUUUUAUUUCAUCAAGGUAUGGGAUAAUAGUAUAGGUGUGCAACUAAGUCC